This is a non-coding RNA of Pelodiscus sinensis (Chinese soft-shelled turtle), 1453 nucleotides long. The record is from RefSeq and is a predicted model, not a curated record. Lineage: Eukaryota; Metazoa; Chordata; Testudines; Trionychidae.
GUGGGCAGUGGGUGAGUAAAGCUUUUAAAUUUUGAUUUUUUUUAUCAUCAGUGCUGGUGUAUCAUGCACACGCCCUCCAGACCUACCCCCACAUUGCUGAGCUCAGGAAAUUGAAACUACCCCUGUUCCCCAGCCCAGAAGCAGCCAUGGCUGCAGAGUCCCCCGUGAAAAGUGUCUAGGAGGAAGCGCUGUGUCCCAUCUGUCUGGAGGAUUUCACAGCCCCUGUCACUCUGGAGUGUGGGAACAAUUUCUGCCAGGCAACCCUAAGACGUCAGUGCAGAGACACUGGGCAUCAGAGUCCCCUCCAGCCCAUCCGGCAGCUGACAACGAUGGUGGAACUAGCCAAGCCGCUAAGUUUCCAGGCAGCAUAGAGAGCAAGAUGGGACAGUGUAUGUGGAGAGCACCAGGAGGCUCUGAAGCUGUUCUGUGAAGAGGAUCAAACUCCCAUCUGUGUGGGGUGUGACAGAUCCUGGGAUCAAACGGUGGUGCCUAUACAGGAAGCUGCCCAGGAGUACAAGGAAAAACGUGAGGCGCAUUUGAAGUUUCUGAGGGAAGAGAGAGAGAAGCUGCUGGGAUGGAAAAUGUCAGCUGAAGGAAAAAGCCAGGAGUGUCUGAAAUAGACACAAGCCGGGAGGCAGAUGAUUGUCGCUGAGUUUCAGCAGCUGCAUCAGUUCCUGGUGGAACAAGAGCGACUCCUGCUGGCCCAGCUGGAGAAGUUGGAUGAGGAGAUUGUGAAACUCCAGACUGGUGUACUCAGGAAACUCUCCGCCCAGAUUUCUCGUCUCAGCGAGCUUAUUGAGGAGCUGGAGGGGAAGUGUCCAAAGCCAGCAAGUGAAUUCCUGCAGGAUGUCAGAAGCACCUUGAGCAGGUACGUUGCUCUCUCUCCCCUCAUGCUGCACCACACAGAGAAAAAGCUUGGAGCUGAUGUUAGCACCAGAUGUUGGAUACAGAUGUCUUUGACUCGUUUAAUUCUGAGUGUCUCACUCUCUCACAGCAGACUCUGGAAUUCCCCAUUCAGGGGCACUGUCUGAUGUCAGGUGUUUCCUAGAGCUGUCACCUCCCUGGGGUCUAGCUGCCUCAGGACUGUAGGGCUGAAAUAUGGGCCUGUCACUGCUGGGCACAUUCAGCCCAGGGCAGCAGGGACCAAGAGUCUGUCCCACCCAACGGCUGUUUGGAGACCUGUGUGGAAGGAGCUGGGGAGCGGGGAGCUGGUGUCUCAGUCUAGUUCCCAGUGGGCAGAUUUCUACAGCCCUUAAGGUGCUAAGGACCAGGAGGUUCCCAGGUGGAGGCCAAGGAGUGAGAUGGCCAUGGACGUGGAGUCUCAAUUCCACUUUUAUCCCCCAGCUGGUCUCCGGGCCAGAGGUGAAGAACAGCAAUGGGACCUUUCAGAGGAAGGUUGCACAGUCAUGGGCUGUGUUGCCCCUGUUCUCAGGCUGGGAGAACUGGAGGAGUU